This is a long non-coding RNA of Lolium rigidum, 2298 nucleotides long. RefSeq lists it as uncharacterized. NCBI's taxonomy places the organism in Eukaryota, Viridiplantae, Streptophyta, Magnoliopsida, Poales, Poaceae. The transcript is spliced from 3 exons. The record is from RefSeq and is a predicted model, not a curated record.
CAUGGCUUUCUUGAGAGGUUGGAAUAGCACCGUUCACAUGCGAUGGGAUGUGUGGGUAUGUUAAUGAUUCCGUCCCCUACAGUUUCUGUUGAAAAGAUACACACCAAAAUCUUUGAAAGCGUAAGGAAAUACUGACAUGAAUAUGGCAAUGUAGCUAUUUUGUUGCACAAUGUAAUUGACAUUUUGACACGAUAGCUUGUUAGGUACUGUUUUAGUUCACAUUUUGGUGAACAGAUCAACAUGAAAUUGUGGUGUGAUGAAAACAUAGAGCGAACGCGAAUGAUGAUAUGUGAAACUAACUGAAUUGUGUCAAGCCACCAUAUAAGGGUAGUUGAGCUCAAACCCAGUGUUCUUAUAUUGUAGAGUUUCAAUUUUAUAUUGGAAAGUCCUAAAUUAGACCAAAGGAAUUCUGUCUGCUAGAAAGAAAAAAAGCGCUUCGGAAUUGAUCUCAUCCUUCAUAAUAUAAUUUUUUUCUUUGUUCAGUUAAUAACUUAACCUUGGAAUAGAACACUUGUUAUAGUAAUUGAAUUAAUAAAUGAAAAGAUUUAGGCAUUAGUUAAUGAAAAGAUUUAGCAUUAGUUUAUGAGGAAUUCUGUAUGGAUAUGUAUUAUAGGAAGGAAUAAUUCCAAGUAUUUUGGAUUGCAAUAGAGAAUUUGAAAUCGUAACUUGAAACAAGAACAAGAAAUUUAAAGCAAUAAUAAAGAAUAAAGAGCCAACCAGAUUAAUAAAACUGAGAAAAUUAAUUCGGAAAGAAUUUUUUUGAAGCUCCAUUGUGGAAUUCAGACCUAACCAUUCAAGGAGUAGUGGGAAUGACCGAACCUCGAUAGGAUUUUAUUGAAAAGAAUCCUAAUACUCCAUUGGUUGGGAUGGCGGAGGAAACCAAAAAAUUGUCUUAUAUUAUCUGUAAUUUCUCUUAGAUUCGAACCCAUAGCUGAUGAUAGAACUAGUAGAUAUCUUUUGUUUUUUACUCACGCGAGCCCAUAUCCUUUCUUUUUCAAUUGCUAAUUCCGAUCUUUCUCCCCAAUCUGAUAUUAUAGUCCCGGACUCCCGGUGUAGAUAGAAAUUCCCUGUUAAUAACCGACCGUUUUGAUUAUUUAGAACAACUCGAUGAAUUUAGUAGAUCCUUUUAGUAUGCGCUCAAUGACCAUAGAUCGAACCUAUCCUAUUUUACAGAGAGUGUCAUUUUUAUGAUGAUCAAACUUGUAAGCAUGUUAGUUUGUGUUCUGGUAUAAUAUCAUGUUGUGUUCUUGAAUUUGGUAUUGUGCUACCACUUCCUUUUAUCUGUGAACUACUUAUAUCUGUGAACUACAUAAUCUUUUAAUUGCAACGGACUAACAUGACAAGGAAGAACUUAUCAGAUGCAGUAGUAGCUUGAAAGAAUUUGCCACACUCCAUUUUUUCAUCCAUGCACACUAAAUUCUUAAUUUACCUUUGUUGGGCCAGUAUGCUAAUAGGAUUCUUUGACUAACCAUAUGAGGUCUCACAAAUUAGUGCUUUUAUGCAAUUGUGUAGUAUAACAUGACAUGAAAUGAUGUUUUCAGACAUGAUGAAGAUUGCUAUGGUUCUAUGAGAAGAAAACCACUUUCCUUCUUUGUCUUAUGAAGAUGUUGCUUUAUAUUCGUGUAGUACUCCCAGCAGCAACAUUGACUCUUCUACACAUGUCCAAAUAAAAAACUGUCUCUUUUACAUGACUAUUGUAGUUAAAGAAAGCUCCAGUUUUAGAAGAUUAAUAAUCUUUAUAGGUUCCAUUGUUUCUUCACUUCUUCAGGUAGACAUUGCAGUGACUGCCAUUUGGAUGGUAGCGCCUAUCAUGAAUCAUAUACUGUAAAUAUAGAAAAACAUUGUACGUUUCCAUAGUUGUACUGGAAUUUAGUGAGUAGCUUAAAUGAACGAUCUGUUGGAUCUUCAGUGACUUCAAAAGAUGCUGCUAGGCUGUUCUGUGUGUUACUUUCAAGUGGCCUGCUGCUUUCUCUUGUCUGCUUUCUUUCUGCACCGCUGCAUUUUGCUUCGCCUAAUUGAUACAUAUGUACUUCUGUGUUAUGAUUGUUAUUUCAAUGGGUCCUCAAUUGGUUAUUCUUAUCGUAGCUACAGAAAUUUUCUACUCAAAAUAGCAUAAAAAAUUCCCUCUACUCGCAGUCAACCGUAGGUUCUACAAUAGUAUGGAGAUCAACUUGCGCACAAGUGUUCCUGGAGCUUACCUGUAUGAAUUUCUCUGCAAUUACACAACUGGAAUGCACCUUUAUUCCUUUUGCCCUUUCCGAAACAACUUAUGGAAGUGGGCCAUUAGGAAUGGAACUU